This 1327-nucleotide ribosomal RNA is filed under the name Brachyptera seticornis. RNAcentral's name for it is "SSU rRNA". It matches the Rfam family "Eukaryotic small subunit ribosomal RNA", at positions 560 to 1787 of the family's 1831-position model. Lineage: Eukaryota; Metazoa; Arthropoda; Insecta; Plecoptera; Taeniopterygidae. The record is from RNAcentral.
UCUGGUGCCAGCAGCCGCGGUAAUUCCAGCUCCAAUAGCGUAUAUUAAAGUUGUUGCGGUUAAAAAGCUCGUAGUUGGACUUGUGUCCCACGCCGCGGUCUGUCGCCCGUCGAUGCGACCGCGCGGUUCAUGUCAGUGGGACGUCCAGCCGGUGGCACGCUGGUCCCGUCGUCGUGCGCGCGUCGUUCGCAAGAGCGGCGCGUCGCGCGCGGCGGGUUGCCGGUGCCAUGUCACUCGUCCCGGUGCUCUUUAUCGAGUGUCUUGGCGGGCCGGCUCGUUUACUUUGAACAAAUUAGAGUGCUCAAAGCAGGCUGGAACGCCUGAAUGUUGUAUGCAUGGAAUAAUGGAAAAAGAUCUCGGUUCUAUUUUGUUGGUUUUUGUGAACCCGAGAUAAUGAUUAAGAGGGACGAACGGGGGCAUUCGUAUUGCGACGUUAGAGGUGAAAUUCUUGGAUCGUCGCAAGACGAACGGGAGCGAAAGCGUUUGCCAAGCACGUCCUCAUUAAUCAAGAACGAAAGUUAGAGGUUCGAAGGCGAUCAGAUACCGCCCUAGUUCUAACCAUAAACGAUGCCAACUAGCGAUCCGCCGGUGUUCCUCCGAUGACCCGGCGGGCAGCUUACGGGAAACCAAGUGUUUGGGUUCCGGGGGAAGUAUGGUUGCAAAGCUCAAACUUAAAGGAAUUGACGGAAGGGCACCACCAGGAGUGGAGCCUGCGGCUUAAUUUGACUCAACACGGGAAACCUCACCAGGCCCGGACACUGGAAGGAUUGACAGAUUGUAUAGCUCUUUCUUGAUUCAGUGGGUGGUGGUGCAUGGCCGUUCUUAGUUGGUGGAGCGAUUUGUCUGGUUAAUUCCGAUAACGAACGAGACUCUGGCCUGCUAACUAGUCGCUAAACAAACGACAUCCGCAUCCGUGCUGUCGGCGACACGAUGAAACUCUUCUUAGAGGGACCGGCGGCCUCGAGCCGCACGAGAUUGAGCGAUAACAGGUCUGUGAUGCCCUUAGAUGUUCUGGGCCGCACGCGCGCUACACUGAAGGCAUCAACGUGUGUUCAUCAUCCUUGGCCGAAAGGUCCGGGUAACCCGCUGAAACGCCUUCGUGCUAGGGACUGGGGCUUGCAAUUCUUCCCCAUGAACGAGGAAUUCCCCGUAAGCGCGAGUCAUAAGCUCGCGCUGACUACGUCCCUGCCCUUUGUACACACCGCCCGUCGCUACUACCGAUUGAAUGAUUUGGUGAGGUCUUUGGACUGUCGCGCGGUGGCGCACGCAAGUGCCCGUCGACGUCGGCGGAAAGCUGAUCAAACUUGAUUACUUAGAGGAAGUAAAA